CCUACGGGAGGCAGCAGUGAGGAAUAUUGGUCAAUGGGCUUACGCCUGAACCAGCCAAGUCGCGUGAGGGAAGACUGCCCUAUGGGUUGUAAACCUCUUUUGUCAGGGAGCAACGCCGGCUACGUGUAGCCGGACUGAGAGUACCUGAAGAAAAAGCAUCGGCUAACUCCGUGCCAGCAGCCGCGGUAAUACGGAGGAUGCGAGCGUUAUCCGGAUUUAUGGGGUUUAAAGGGUGCAUAGGCGGAAUGCCAAGUCAGCGGUAAAAUCGCGGGGCUCAACCUCGCUCCGCCGUUGAAACUGGCGUUCUUGAGUGGGCGAGAAGUAUGCGGAAUGCGUGGUGUAGCGGUGAAAUGCAUAGAGAUCACGCAGAACUCCGAUUGCGAAGGCAGCAUACCGGCGCCCAACUGACGCUGAAGCACGAAAGCGUGGGUAUCGAACAGGAUUAGAUACCCUUGUAGUC
Molecule: ribosomal RNA, 460 nt
Filed under: uncultured bacterium
Lineage: Bacteria
Description: partial 16S ribosomal RNA
Rfam family: Bacterial small subunit ribosomal RNA
Source: RNAcentral